RNAcentral lists this ribosomal RNA (498 nucleotides) under Quadraseta pazca. Its description in RNAcentral is "SSU rRNA". It matches the Rfam family "Eukaryotic small subunit ribosomal RNA", at positions 539 to 1045 of the family's 1831-position model. Lineage: Eukaryota; Metazoa; Arthropoda; Arachnida; Trombidiformes; Trombiculidae. The record is from RNAcentral.
UUUUAUAUUGGAGGGCAAGUCUGGUGCCAGCAGCCGCGGUAAUUCCAGCUCCAAUAGCGUAUAUUAAAGUUGUUGCGGUUAAAAAGCUCGUAGUUGGAUCUCAGCUCACGCUAAGUGGUCCACUUAAUGGUGGUUACUACUUAGCUGAGCAUUUUACAGAUUUGUCUCUUGAUGCUCUUCACCGAGUGUCAAGAGUGGUCUGUACGUUUACUUUGAAAAAAUUAGAGUGCUUAAAGCAGGCAACUCGCCCGAAUAAUCUUGCAUGGAAUAAUGGAAUAGGACCUUGGUUCUAUUUUGUUGGUCUCCGGAAUCUGAGGUAAUGAUUAAGAGGGACAGACGGGGGCAUUCGUAUUGCGCCGCUAGAGGUGAAAUUCUUGGACCGGCGCAAGACGAACUACAGCGAAAGCAUUUGCCAAGAAUGUUUUCUAAUCAAGAACGAAAGUUAGAGGUUCGAAGGCGAUCAGAUACCGCCCUAGUUCUAACCAUAAACGAUGCCAA